Molecule: ribosomal RNA, 254 nt
Filed under: uncultured bacterium
Lineage: Bacteria
Description: partial 16S ribosomal RNA
Rfam family: Bacterial small subunit ribosomal RNA
Source: RNAcentral
UACGGGGGGAGCAAGCGUUGUUCGGAUUUACUGGGCGUAAAGGGCGCGUAGGCGGCCACCGCAAGUCGAUUGUGAAAUCUCCGGGCUUAACCCGGAAAGGUCAACCGAUACUGCGGGGCUAGAGUGCAGAAGGGGCAACUGGAAUUCUCGGUGUAGCGGUGAAAUGCGCAGAUAUCAGGAGGAACACCUAUUGCGAAGGCAGCUCGCUGGGACGUUACUGACGCUGAGACGCGAAAGCGUGGGGAGCAAACAGG